This 323-nucleotide ribosomal RNA is filed under the name uncultured Chloroflexota bacterium. RNAcentral describes it as "bacterial SSU rRNA". It matches the Rfam family "Bacterial small subunit ribosomal RNA", at positions 28 to 351 of the family's 1533-position model. Lineage: Bacteria; Bacillati; Chloroflexota. The record is from RNAcentral.
GAUGAACGCUGGCGGCGUGCCUAACACAUGCAAGUCGAACGUGAGGGUAUAGCAAUAUGCCUGAAAGUGGCGAACGGGUGAGUAACACGUAGGUAACCUGCCGCGCAGAGGGGGAUAACCAUUGGAAACGAUGGCUAAGACCGCAUGGUCCUUAUCGGACGGGAGUCUGAUGGGGUAAAGCCUUGGCGCUGCGCGAGGGGCCUGCGCCCGAUUAGCUAGUUGGUGAGGUAACGGCUCACCAAGGCGAUGAUCGGUAGCUGGUCUGAGAGGAUGGAUCAGCCACACGGGAACUGAGACACGGUCCCGACUCCUACGGGAGGCUG